AAUAAGUGUAGUUUUGCACUGUUCAUAUCCAACAUUUGACUGUUCUUCUUAUUUGAAAAUUAUUAUUAUUACUAUUACUAUUACUAUUACUAUUAUAUGAUAAAACAUGAAUAGUACUUUAUGUGUGACUAUUUUUUAUAAAUUGUUCAUCAUUUUUUCAAAUAAGACGGAUGGUCAAAUGUUGGACAAGAAUACGGGAUACCUACAGCUGCACUUAUU
This is a non-coding RNA of Oryza barthii, 219 nucleotides long. NCBI's taxonomy places the organism in Eukaryota, Viridiplantae, Streptophyta, Magnoliopsida, Poales, Poaceae. The record is from Rfam.